Odontomachus brunneus is the source of this 389-nucleotide long non-coding RNA. RefSeq lists it as uncharacterized. Lineage: Eukaryota; Metazoa; Arthropoda; Insecta; Hymenoptera; Formicidae. The record is from RefSeq and is a predicted model, not a curated record. The transcript has 3 exons.
GGUAUGUCCGCGAGAGCGCGUACUUGUCGGAUCGCGACACCGCGUCUUGACGUGCAUCAUUUACGCGGCUAUCUUCGAAAUCGGCCUUUUUGCCGAGCAGCCGUCAUCGACACAUCGAUCAACAUCGCUCCGCGUUCUACGCAUCUUUGUCAAAAGUGAGUCUCGCGCGGAAAUGAGUGCCGAAAAUGCCGAAAACAGCGAUGCGCGAUCGUCAGAACCUAUCAGAUCCAAUAGAGCAGACGUAAUCACGCAGCUCUAGGGGAUGUGAUGCCUGGGGGAUGUCGCGCCGGAGGAUUCAGCUCGGGCCUGUUUGAAUCGACUUGAAGAGACGAGCACUCGACUCUAAGGGGAUGCUGCGCCGGAGGAUCCGACUCGGGCUUGGCAGAGUU